RNAcentral lists this ribosomal RNA (500 nucleotides) under uncultured bacterium. RNAcentral describes it as "partial 16S ribosomal RNA". It matches the Rfam family "Bacterial small subunit ribosomal RNA", at positions 30 to 523 of the family's 1533-position model. The record is from RNAcentral.
AUUGAACGCUGGCGGAAUGCUUUACACAUGCAAGUCGAACGGCAGCACGGACUUCGGUCUGGUGGCGAGUGGCGAACGGGUGAGUAAUGUAUCGGAACGUGCCCAGUCGUGGGGGAUAACGUAGUGAAAAUUACGCUAAUACCGCAUACGAUCUAUGGAUGAACGCGGGGGAUCGCAAGACCUCGCGCGAUUCGACCGGCCGAUAGCAGAUUAGGUAGUUGGUGGGGUAAAGGCCCACCAAGCCAACGAUCUGUAGCUGGUCUGAGAGGACGACCAGCCAAACUGGAACUGAGACACGGUCCAGACUCCUACGGGAGGCAGCAGUGGGGAAUUUUGGACAAUGGGCGAAAGCCUGAUCCAGCCAUUCCGAGUGCAGGAUGAAGGCCCUCGGGUUGUAAACUGCUUUUGUACAGAACGAAAAGGUUUCUACUAAUACUAGGAGCUCAUGACGGUACUGUAAGAAUAAGCACCGGCUAACUACGUGCCAGCAGCCGCCGCCG